Molecule: ribosomal RNA, 1351 nt
Filed under: uncultured bacterium
Lineage: Bacteria
Description: bacterial SSU rRNA
Rfam family: Bacterial small subunit ribosomal RNA
Source: RNAcentral
GACGAACUUUGGCGGCGUGCUUAACACAUGCAAGUCGAACGGAAAGGCCCUGCUUUUGUGGGGUGCUCGAGUGGCGAACGGGUGAGUAACACGUGAGUAACCUGCCCUUGACUUUGGGAUAACUUCAGGAAACUGGGGCUAAUACCGGAUAGGAGCUCCUGCUGCAUGGUGGGGGUUGGAAAGUUUCGGCGGUUGGGGAUGGACUCGCGGCUUAUCAGCUUGUUGGUGGGGUAGUGGCUUACCAAGGCUUUGACGGGUAGCCGGCCUGAGAGGGUGACCGGCCACAUUGGGGCUGAGAUACGACCCAGACUCCUACGGGAGGCAGCAGUGGGGAAUAUUGCACAAUGGGCGGAAGCCUGAUGCAGCAACGCCGCGUGCGGGAUGACGGCCUUCGGGUUGUAAACCGCUUUCGCCUGUGACGAAGCGUGAGUGACGGUAAUGGGUAAAGAAGCACCGGCUAACUACGUGCCAGCAGCCGCGGUGAUACGUAGGGUGCGAGCGUUGUCCGGAUUUAUUGGGCGUAAAGGGCUCGUAGGUGGUUGAUCGCGUCGGAAGUGUAAUCUUGGGGCUUAACCCUGAGCGUGCUUUCGAUACGGGUUGACUUGAGGAAGGUAGGGGAGAAUGGAAUUCCUGGUGGAGCGGUGGAAUGCGCAAAUAUCAGGAAGAAACCCCCAGUGGCGAAGGGCGGUUUUCUGGGCCUUUUCCUGACGCUGGAGGAGCGAAAGCGUGGGGAGCGAACAGGCUUAGAUACCCUGGUAGUCCACGCUGUAAACGGUGGGUACUAGGUGUGGGGUCCAUUCCACGGGUUCCGUGCCGUAGCUAACGCUUUAAGUACCCCGCCUGGGGAGUACGGCCGCAAGGCUAAAACUCAAAGGAAUUGACGGGGCCCCGCACAAGCGGCGGAGCAUGCGGAUUAAUUCGAUGCAACGCGUAGAACCUUACCUGGGUUUGACAUGGAUCGGGAGUGCUCAGAGAUGGGUGUGCCUCUUUUGGGGUCGGUUCACAGGUGGUGCAUGGCUGUCGUCAGCUCGUGUCGUGAGAUGUUGGGUUAAGUCCCGCAACGAGCGCAACCCUUGUUCACUGUUGCCAGCACGUUAUGGUGGGGACUCAGUGGAGACCGCCGGGGUCAACUCGGAGGAAGGUGGGGAUGACGUCAAGUCAUCAUGCCCCUUAUGUCCAGGGCUUCACGCAUGCUACAAUGGCUGGUACAGAGAGUGGCGAGCCUGUGAGGGUGAGCGAAUCUCGGAAAGCCGGUCUCAGUUCGGAUUGGGGUCUGCAACUCGACCUCAUGAAGUCGGAGUCGCUAGUAAUCGCAGAUCAGCAACGCUGCGGUGAAUCCGUUCCCGGGUCU